UACGGGGGGGCAAGCGUUGUUCGGAAUUACUGGGCGUAAAGGGCGCGUAGGCGGUUCGCUAAGUUGGGAUGUGAAAACUCUGGGCUUAACCCAGAGCCUGCAUCCAAAACUGGCGAACUGGAGUACUGGAGGGGAAAGCGGAAUUCCUGGUGUAGCGGUGAAAUGCGUAGAUAUCAGGAGGAACACCGGUGGCGAAGGCGGUGAUCUGGGCCGACACUGACGCUGGUAGAGCGAAAGCGUGGGGAGCGAACAGG
This 254-nucleotide ribosomal RNA is filed under the name uncultured bacterium. RNAcentral describes it as "partial 16S ribosomal RNA". It matches the Rfam family "Bacterial small subunit ribosomal RNA", at positions 524 to 776 of the family's 1533-position model. The record is from RNAcentral.